RNAcentral lists this ribosomal RNA (253 nucleotides) under uncultured bacterium. Its description in RNAcentral is "partial 16S ribosomal RNA". It matches the Rfam family "Bacterial small subunit ribosomal RNA", at positions 524 to 776 of the family's 1533-position model. The record is from RNAcentral.
UACGUAGGGUGCGAGCGUUAAUCGGAAUUACUGGGCGUAAAGCGUGCGCAGGCGGUUCGCCAAGUCAGGUGUGAAAUCCCCGGGCUUAACCUGGGAAUUGCGCUUGAAACUAGCGGGCUUGAGUGUGGCAGAGGGGGGUGGAAUUCCACGUGUAGCAGUGAAAUGCGUAGAGAUGUGGAGGAACACCGAUGGCGAAGGCCGCCCCCUGGGUCAACACUGACGCUCAUGCACGAAAGCGUGGGGAGCAAACAGG